RNAcentral lists this ribosomal RNA (155 nucleotides) under uncultured bacterium. Its description in RNAcentral is "partial 16S ribosomal RNA". It matches the Rfam family "Bacterial small subunit ribosomal RNA", at positions 355 to 507 of the family's 1533-position model. The record is from RNAcentral.
UGAGGAAUAUUGGUCAAUGGGCGCAAGCCUGAACCAGCCAUGCCGCGUGCAGGAUGACGGUCCUAUGGAUUGUAAACUGCUUUUGUACAGGAAGAAACAGUUCUACGUGUAGAACCUUGACGGUACUGUAAGAAUAAGGAUCGGCUAACUCCGUG